UUAACUUUUUAUGUGAAAAAGAGUUCAAACAAGUACUUUAUAAGGGUUUUUAUGAAUUUUUCCCGAGUGAAAAAAGUCCAAUUUGAUUUUGAGGGUGGAAUUGAAACCCAGAGGUGCGAAUUAGGGUGCAACUGACAAAAUUGCAAUGUCAGGGUGCAACUAAAAAGGGGCUAAAAGUUAGGAUUUUUUUGGUGAUUAAGCCUUCUUAAUAUGGUAUCAAAGCAAUUUGCUCUAUAUUUCUUCAUUUUCUCAGCUGCAUUUUGCUAAUUUUCUCAGUAAACAAACACUUUUUCUUCAUCAAUUUCUUUUUCAAGGCUAUUUUUUGUUAUCAAUGGCAAAUUCUUUUGCAAGACUUGAAGAUAUUCCUUCACGUCCUUAUUGUGUUCAUCCGAGUGAGAAUCCCUCACUAUUGCCGGUUACAAAUAUGUUAACUGAACAAAAUUAUCAUUCAUAGUGCAGAGCCAUGAAAAAAGCAUUGAUCUCUAAAAACAAGUUAAAGUUUAUUGAUGGAAGUAUUCCUAUUCCUCACAGGAAUGACCCUUCCUUUCCAGCAUGGGAGAGGCGCAAUAAUAUGGAGUGUUUAUGGCUGACUAGAGCAAUAAUUCUACUUCUGUUUCUGAGGAGCCAAGUGUUUUCUACAGCAAAGGAACCCUGCUUAUGUGAAUAGUGGAUCAAAACCAAAUUUUUUGGCUUCAGUCAAAACAAGUAAACAAUAUGUUCUUAUUGUGGAAAGGAAGGACACAGAGUUGAUAUUUGCUAAAUGGAUAAUAGAUACAGGGGCUACAGAUCAUAUAACGUGCAAUUCACAAUUGUUUAAGUCUUCUAAACCUGUUUAUAAUAUGGUUCUAAGGCUGCCUAAUGUUGAACAAGUUCAUAUUGCUGCUAUAGGAGACAUUCAAUCCAGUCCCUUAUUAUUACUCAAAUAUGUCUUGUAUGUGCCAAGUUUUAGUUUCAAUUUGAUAUUAGCCAACAAAUUGACUAA
Molecule: long non-coding RNA, 982 nt
Organism: Mercurialis annua (annual mercury)
Lineage: Eukaryota; Viridiplantae; Streptophyta; Magnoliopsida; Malpighiales; Euphorbiaceae
Exons: 2
Source: RefSeq, a predicted model, not a curated record